This 427-nucleotide ribosomal RNA is filed under the name uncultured prokaryote. RNAcentral's name for it is "bacterial SSU rRNA". It matches the Rfam family "Bacterial small subunit ribosomal RNA", at positions 355 to 774 of the family's 1533-position model. The record is from RNAcentral.
UAGGGAAUCUUCCACAAUGGACGAAAGUCUGAUGGAGCAAUGCCGCGUGAGUGAAGAAGGUUUUCGGAUCGUAAAACUCUGUUGUGAGGGAAGAACAAGUACGAGAGUAACUGCUCGUACCUUGACGGUACCUCAUUAGAAAGCCACGGCUAACUACGUGCCAGCAGCCGCGGUAAUACGUAGGUGGCAAGCGUUGUCCGGAAUUAUUGGGCGUAAAGCGCGCGCAGGCGGUCCUUUAAGUCUGAUGUGAAAUCCCAGGGCUCAACCGUGGAAGGGCAUGGGAAGCUGGGGGACUUGAGUACAGAAGAGGAAAGCGGAAUUCCAAGUGUAGCGGUGAAAUGCGUAGAGAUUUGGAGGAACACCAGUGGCGAAGGCGGCUUUCUGGGCUGUAACUGACGCUGAGGCGCGAAAGCGUGGGGAGCAAACA